This 329-nucleotide unclassified non-coding RNA is filed under the name Hevea brasiliensis (rubber tree). The record is from RNAcentral. Lineage: Eukaryota; Viridiplantae; Streptophyta; Magnoliopsida; Malpighiales; Euphorbiaceae.
UGAUUGUCCAACUCACAUGUCCUUCGAUGUUGCUGAGUGGAGAGCCAAAUCUGAUGGCAGCAUACCCUGUCCUCCUAAAGAGUGUGGUGGUUGUGGUUCUUCUUUAAUGGCUCUAAGGCGUAUCUUCGAAGCAAAUUGGGUAGACCAACUAAUUCAAAGUGCUGAGGCCUUAACAUGCAACUACCGCCUUCCAGAUAUAGAUUUGUCGCAUGGGUGUUCAUUUUGUCUUGCUACCACUUCUGUCCAAGACGGUGAUAACCGAUGUCAAGUAAGAGAAGCAUCUUUUAGGAACAACAGCCAUGAUAAUCUUCUGUACUGUCCUAAUGCUG